GACGAACCGUGCGAACGUUGUUCGGAAUCACUGGGCUUAAAGGGCGCGUAGGCGGGCUGGAAAGUCAGGGGUGAAAGCCCACGGCUCAACCGUGGAAGCGCCUUUGAUACUGCCAGUCUCGAGGGAGGUAGGGGCGUGCGGAACUUCCGGUGGAGCGGUGAAAUGCGUAGAUAUCGGAAGGAACACCGGUGGCGAAAGCGGCGCGCUGGACCUCUUCUGACGCUGAGGCGCGAAAGCCAGGGGAGCAAACGGGAUUAGAAACCCU
Molecule: ribosomal RNA, 265 nt
Filed under: uncultured bacterium
Lineage: Bacteria
Description: partial 16S ribosomal RNA
Rfam family: Bacterial small subunit ribosomal RNA
Source: RNAcentral